Molecule: ribosomal RNA, 492 nt
Filed under: Aspergillus ruber
Lineage: Eukaryota; Fungi; Ascomycota; Eurotiomycetes; Eurotiales; Aspergillaceae
Description: eukaryotic LSU rRNA
Rfam family: 5.8S ribosomal RNA (bases 121-274)
Source: RNAcentral
CACCUCCCAUCCGUGUCUAUCUGUACCCUGUUGCUUCGGCGUGGCUACGGCCCGCCGAAGACUAACAUUUGAACACUGUCUGAAGUUUGCAGUCUGAGUUUUUAGUUAAACAAUAAUUAAAACUUUCAACAACGGAUCUCUUGGUUCCGGCAUCGAUGAAGAACGCAGCGAAAUGCGAUAAUUAAUGUGAAUUGCAGAAUUCAGUGAAUCAUCGAGUCUUUGAACGCACAUUGCGCCCCCUGGUAUUCCGGGGGGCAUGCCUGUCCGAGCGUCAUUGCUGCCCUCAAGCACGGCUUGUGUGUUGGGCUUCCGUCCCUGGUAACGGGGACGGGCCCAAAAGGCAGUGGCGGCACCAUGUCUGGUCCUCGAGCGUAUGGGGCUUUGUCACCCGCUCCCGUAGGUCCAGCUGGCAGCUAGCCUCGCAACCAAUCUUUUUAACCAGGUUGACCUCGGAUCAGGUAGGGAUACCCGCUGAACUUAAGCAUAUCAAAA